UACGUAGGGUGCAAGCGUUAAUCGGAAUUACUGGGCGUAAAGCGUGCGCAGGCGGUUUUGUAAGUCUGUUGUGAAAUCCCCGGGCUCAACCUGGGAAUUGCGAUGGAGACUGCAAAGCUAGAAUCUGGAAGAGGUGGGUAGAAUUCCACGUGUAGCAGUGAAAUGCGUAGAGAUGUGGAGGAACACCGAUGGCGAAGGCAGCCCCCUGGGUCAAGACUGACGCUCAUGCACGAAAGCGUGGGGAGCAAACGGG
This 253-nucleotide ribosomal RNA is filed under the name uncultured bacterium. RNAcentral describes it as "partial 16S ribosomal RNA". It matches the Rfam family "Bacterial small subunit ribosomal RNA", at positions 524 to 776 of the family's 1533-position model. The record is from RNAcentral.